Molecule: ribosomal RNA, 432 nt
Filed under: uncultured bacterium
Lineage: Bacteria
Description: bacterial SSU rRNA
Rfam family: Bacterial small subunit ribosomal RNA
Source: RNAcentral
AACGCGAAGAACCUUACCGGGGCUUGACAUCCUGCGCUAUCCUAGGAGACUAGGUUUCCGGGCAACCGGACGCAGAGACAGGUGCUGCAUGGCUGUCGUCAGCUCGUGCCGUGAGGUGUUGGGUUAAGUCCCGCAACGAGCGCAACCCUUGCCGUGUGUUGGUCGCAAGAUCUCUCACGCGGGACCGCCGGUGACAAGCCGGAGGAAGGUGGGGAUGACGUCAAGUCAGCAUGGCCCUUACGUCCCGGGCUACACACGUGUUACAAUGGCUAGGACAAUGUGAUGCAAGACCGUAAGGUGGAGCGAAUCACCAAACCUAGUCUCAGUUCGGAUUGCAGGCUGCAACUCGCCUGCAUGAAGUCGGAAUCGCUAGUAAAUGCCGAUCAGCACGCGGCAUUGAAUACGUUCCCGGGCCUUGUACACACCGCAUAC